This 372-nucleotide ribosomal RNA is filed under the name uncultured organism. RNAcentral describes it as "bacterial SSU rRNA". It matches the Rfam family "Bacterial small subunit ribosomal RNA", at positions 526 to 896 of the family's 1533-position model. The record is from RNAcentral.
CGUAGGGUGCAGGCGUUAAUCGGAAUUACUGGGCGUAAAGCGUGCGCAGGCGGUCUCUUAAGACAGGUGUGAAAUCCCCGGGCUUAACCUGGGAACUGCGCUUGUAACUGAGAGGCUAGAGUGUGGCAGAGGGGGUGGAAUUCCACGUGUAGCAGUGAAAUGCGUAGAGAUGUGGAGGAACACCGAUGGCGAAGGCAGCCCCCUGGGCUAACACUGACGCUCAUGCACGAAAGCGUGGGGAGCAAACAGGAUUAGAAUACCCUGGUAGUCCACGCCCUAAACUAUGUCAACUGGUUGUCGGGGAAGCAAUUCCUUGGUAACGAAGCUAACGCGUGAAGUUGACCGACCUGGGGGAUACGGGCCGCAAGGUUA